AGAGUUUGAUCAUGGCUCAGGACGAACGCUGGCGGCGUGCUUAACACAUGCAAGUCGAACGGUAAGGCCCUUCGGGGUACACGAGUGGCGAACGGGUGAGUAACACGUGGGUGAUCUGCCCUGCACUUUGGGAUAAGCCUGGGAAACUGGGUCUAAUACCGAAUAUGACUCCGGGAUGCAUGUCUUGGGGUGGAAAGCUUUUGCGGUGUGGGAUGGGCCCGCGGCCUAUCAGCUUGUUGGUGGGGUGAUGGCCUACCAAGGCGACGACGGGUAGCCGGCCUGAGAGGGUGUCCGGCCACACUGGGACUGAGAUACGGCCCAGACUCCUACGGGAGGCAGCAGUGGGGAAUAUUGCACAAUGGGCGCAAGCCUGAUGCAGCGACGCCGCGUGAGGGAUGACGGCCUUCGGGUUGUAAACCUCUUUCAGCAGGGACGAAGCGCAAGUGACGGUACCUGUAGAAGAAGCACCGGCCAACUACGUGCCAGCAGCCGCGGUAAUACGUAGGGUGCGAGCGUUGUCCGGAAUUACUGGGCGUAAAGAGCUCGUAGGUGGUUUGUCGCGUUGUUCGUGAAAACUCACAGCUCAACUGUGGGCGUGCGGGCGAUACGGGCAGACUGGAGUACUGCAGGGGAGACUGGAAUUCCUGGUGUAGCGGUGGAAUGCGCAGAUAUCAGGAGGAACACCGGUGGCGAAGGCGGGUCUCUGGGCAGUAACUGACGCUGAGGAGCGAAAGCGUGGGGAGCGAACAGGAUUAGAUACCCUAGUAGUCC
Molecule: ribosomal RNA, 771 nt
Filed under: uncultured bacterium
Lineage: Bacteria
Description: bacterial SSU rRNA
Rfam family: Bacterial small subunit ribosomal RNA
Source: RNAcentral